UUUUAAUAUUUAAAAUGAUGUGUUUUAAUAUUUCAUUAUCAUAAAUUGUAUCUUUUAAUAUUUCAUUAUCAUAAAGUAUCUUGGAGGUAACUAAAACUAAAAAAAAAGUGAACUGGGUCCAGAAAUUGAAUUGAUUAUACAAAUAAAUUAGUGAAAAUUAAACCAUAAUAGAGCAAAGUGAAAUUCAAUCUGCUUACUGGGUUCAUCAGCAACUAACAGUAUUCACUGCCGCAGUUUGGAGUAAGAACAAUACACAUUCCUAUGCCAUUGUAUCCAAUUAUUUACUUCAUGAUAAAUAUGCCGUCUUGUUCAUUAUCAAAGAAUUAUUAAGUCGUUAUCAUAAUAUUUGUAAAUUACACUUUUUCACUGAUGGUACUUCAUCACAAUUCAAAAACUCGUAUGUCAUGACAGCCAUGAAUAAUUUGUACAAAUUAUAGUCUGAUCUUCUUGAGAUUCGUUGGUCAUUUUUUGCAACAUCACACGGAAAAAAGGCAGUUGAUGGCAUAGGUGGAGAAAUAAAAAGAAUGGUUCGGACAACAGCAAAAUCUGGAAAACGAUAUUUUUGCAGCUUAGAAGAUUUUGUAAGCAUUGCAAGUGAAAAACAUACCAAAAUUAAUAUCAUCUCUAUUACAAAUGAGUGUAUUACCGCAAACCAAAGUGAAAUUGAUAAGAAGCUUCUUAAAGAUAAAUUUAAAGUCAAGGGAUUCGUCGCCACCACUCUUUUCUUUUUAAUAUCAAUGGUGCUUUCAUGGCAAUUUGUACCCAAUCAGAAAUGGUAAAAAUUGUUAAGAAUUCAUCAUCUUCAUUAUUAAUAAAUGUGGUAUCAUCCCCAUCUGAAAGGUAUAAAUUUAAUACUAUUUCUCUAGGUAUAUUUGUCUUUGCAGAAGUGCGUUUUGCUGGUAGAGCAAAGACAUACUUUAUCAAAGUAUUAGAAAUUAUAGAUGAUAUGGCACAUAUUAAAUUCCUUAAAGAACAAAACGAACUCAUUUUUAUAUACCCAUCUGUAGACGACUUCUCCUAGCAUGACUUGUGUGAGUUAAAACCGUUAGUACCGCAACCAUACUUUGAUAAUCGUGGACAUAUUAUUAACGAGCCAAAGUGUUACAACUAAACUUAUUGUUAAAAAUUUGAUAUUGUAUCUUUCUUAUCUUUAAUAUAUUAUUCACUAUA
Molecule: long non-coding RNA, 1170 nt
Organism: Hydra vulgaris (swiftwater hydra)
Lineage: Eukaryota; Metazoa; Cnidaria; Hydrozoa; Anthoathecata; Hydridae
Source: RefSeq, a predicted model, not a curated record